GGGAAGGAAUCAAUGAUAUGAAACAGGUUGCUAAACCAGGUGGACUGGUGGUUAUUUUGAUGCGGAAGGAGUGCUUGUUGACAGCUGAAGAAUACAAAGACAAACUGGAAGCUCAUAUGGACCAUUUGCAGAAAACAAAUGUUUGGCAAAAGGAAGUGAAGAAGACUGUGGCAAACUACUUCUGUGGUAAAGAAGGAACGGUGUUUAUCUACCGUGUACUGUGAGCAACUCGCUUCCUCAUCCCUUCCCUCUGCACUGUAAUUCAUAGAUUUAGGCAACAGUUCUCUUUGAUUUAGAAUUAUUUGAUUUUACUGCAAAAGAACCACCACGAUGGAAUUCAGGAUUGAAACUACUGGUGCUCAUGAUGUCUUAAAAUUAAUCUACUUUCUGUCUGUUAGGUAAGACACAUAUGCAACAGUUAGGUAUCUUUAUUUCGAAACGUUUCGCCUACACAGUAGGCUUCUUCAGUCGAGUACAGAAAAGUUGAUAGAAGCAGAAAAUACUUGAAGACGAUGUAAUCAGUCCAUCACCCUUAAAGUUUUGAGGUGGUCAGUCCCUCAGUCUGGAGAAGAGCAUUGUUCCAUAGUCUGAAACAACAACUCUAAAGACGGAAUCUGAGUACAACCUUCCCCUGAAGGCCAAGUUAUAGAUAAUAUGAAACACUUCUACUGAUGUAUACCAGCUGGCUCACGCCACACUGUUAGAUCAGAUGGUGUAAGGCAUUCCACACUACCUUGCCAGCUUUUUCAUUAACAUCAAUAGGCUCUAACAUUCAGGUAAACCUUUUCGUAAUUCAUGUAAUAACUAGUGCACAGCUUCGGGUUCACUAGAGACACUAGAAUGUUGGAAAGAAUUACAGCUCUUACUUGAAGAAUUCAAACCACCCAGUCAUGAUACUCUUAUGCCCAAAAUAUAUUUUAUAAGUUCUGAGUCAGGUGGUAACUCCUGGGAAGAUUUUGUACCUCAGUCGUGACUGCACAAGUCUCAUCACACAGCUUUUAAAAUAUAUUAGUAUUCCUUUUCUUUAGCAUCUACAGAAAACGAGUUUAAGUGUAUUUGGAGGAACCUGAUGUGA
Non-coding RNA from Cherax quadricarinatus, 1075 nucleotides. The record is from RefSeq and is a predicted model, not a curated record. Lineage: Eukaryota; Metazoa; Arthropoda; Malacostraca; Decapoda; Parastacidae.